UGUCCCUGUCUACUAUCCA
RNAcentral lists this small nuclear RNA (19 nucleotides) under Arabidopsis thaliana (thale cress). RNAcentral's name for it is "snRNA_11398". The record is from RNAcentral. Lineage: Eukaryota; Viridiplantae; Streptophyta; Magnoliopsida; Brassicales; Brassicaceae.